AUGGCAGGACAAACAUUUAGAACUUUUUUUUUUAAUUUUUUUGCUUUCUGACUGAGUAUUGGUUGAAAGUAUCGCAGUCAAAACUGUAACCAAAGGAGGUAUUAUGCUUCCCAAAAAAUCUCAAGGAUAAGUAUUGCAAGCAACAGUAGUGGUAGUUACGUCUGGCUGUAAAGGAAAGCGUGGAGAGAUACAACCAAUUAGUCUGAAAUUUGGAGAUAAAAUUUGUCUCCCAGAAUAUGGAGGCAACAAAGUAGUUAUAGAUGACAAGGAUUAUUCUUAUUUAGAGAUGGUGACAUUCUUGGAAGGAAUGUAGACAGA
RNAcentral lists this long non-coding RNA (318 nucleotides) under Homo sapiens (human). Its description in RNAcentral is "non-protein coding lnc-MAFB-7:1". The record is from RNAcentral. Lineage: Eukaryota; Metazoa; Chordata; Mammalia; Primates; Hominidae.